Molecule: RNase P RNA, 343 nt
Filed under: marine eukaryotic metagenome
Description: Bacterial RNase P class A
Rfam family: Bacterial RNase P class A
About the family: Ribonuclease P (RNase P) is a ubiquitous endoribonuclease, found in archaea, bacteria and eukarya as well as chloroplasts and mitochondria. Its best characterised activity is the generation of mature 5'-ends of tRNAs by cleaving the 5'-leader elements of precursor-tRNAs. Cellular RNase Ps are ribonucleoproteins.
Source: RNAcentral
AGAUGGCUGGGUAAUUGCUUGAUCUUUGGAUCAAGAGGAAAGUCCGGACUCCACAAAAACAAGGUGCUGGGUAAUCCCCAGCGGGGGCAACCCUAGGGAAAGUGCCACAGAAAAUAUACCGCCCGCAAGGGUAAGGGUGAAAUGGUGUGGUAAAAGCGCACCGCACUUUUGGUGACAAAAGUGGCAGGGUAAACCCCACCUGGAGCAAGACCAAAUAGGAAUGGCAUAGGGUCGGUUUUUGGAUCGUCAUUCGGGUAGGUCGCACGAGGUAUUUGGUAACAAAUAUCCUAGAUGAAUAAUUACCCCCAGUAAUGGGACAAAAUCCGGCUUAUAGGCCGUCUGC